AUGCAAAUAGGCGGAUUCUGGAACCCCAAGGAUUCAACGGUAUAUGGAUAUGGAAAAUAUAAGAUUUCCGAUCCUAGCGGGAAAAGGCGGGGAACAGAUACCCAAUAGGAUCCUUGGGAGGAACUUUUGGUAAUGGCCUUGAUCCUCUAUGCUAUUUUUUAUGUGUCCUUAGUUCUAUUGAACUUUUUCAUUCUUUUAAACAAGAAUCUAAUAAACUAG
RNAcentral lists this ribosomal RNA (219 nucleotides) under Triticum aestivum (bread wheat). RNAcentral describes it as "partial small subunit ribosomal RNA". Lineage: Eukaryota; Viridiplantae; Streptophyta; Magnoliopsida; Poales; Poaceae. The record is from RNAcentral.